Molecule: non-coding RNA, 1855 nt
Organism: Oncorhynchus mykiss (rainbow trout)
Lineage: Eukaryota; Metazoa; Chordata; Actinopteri; Salmoniformes; Salmonidae
Source: RefSeq, a predicted model, not a curated record
UAUAGUGGACGAAACACUUCAACAACAGCGAGUCAUCCACCUCCGUAGCAAACAUAGCUGAAAGAUUCAAUCUGUUUAGACUGUUUCGGUGUAUAUUAUCCACUAUGUUUUAAACACACUUCUGUCGGCUUAUGCCGUUUAGCUAGUUACCCCCUUUAAUUCCAUAUUUAGCUUUCUAGUAGCUAGCUGGAUGGCUAACAUCCCCGACCAUGAGGUCAGUGAGCUACUCUCCUGCUAAAUAAGAGGUCUGCUGGACUGAGAAAGAGAGCCUGUGGUAGAACAUUGUUGUGAAAGAGGAGAAGGAAGAGGAGGACGUUACAGUGAAAGAAGAGGCGGAGGAGGCGACUAGGGAUCUGAUUAACAACAAACAUUCAGUACUAUCUUGGAAACGGGCACAAACUGCAGUUGUUGAACUGAUGCAGGUUUAAACUGAGAGAGACCAGACCUUCUGACAGCAGGAAGAGUCCUUCAGGGGAACCAGACCCUGAGACGUCCAAACCAGCAGGACGACAUCGCUGCUCCGAGUGUGGAAAGAGUUUUACUCAGUUAGGGAGCCUGAAAACACAUAAGAGAAGACACACAGAAGAGAAGCCUUACCACUGCUGCUUGUGUGGAAAGAGUUUUAGGUGGUUAGGGAGCGUGGAAAGGCAUGAGAGGACACACACAGGAGAAAAGCCUUUCUAAUGUUCCCAUUGUGGAAAGAGUUGUACCCAGUUAGGGAGCCUGAAGGAGCAUGAGAGAAUACACACAGGAGAAAAGCCUUACCAGUGUUCCCAUUGUGGAAAGCAUUUUGCCCAGUUAGGAAACCUGAACCAGCAUGAGAGGACACACACAGGUAAGAAGAUGAACCGCUGCUCCCAGUGUGGAAAGAGAUUUACCCGGUUAAGGUACCUGAAAGAGCAUGAAAGAAUACAUACAAAUACACAGGAGAAGAAGACAUACCACUGCUCUUAUUAUGGAAAGACAUUUUCCCAGUCAGAGGACUUGAAAACACAUGAGAGAAUAGAGAGACUGUGUUCUGACUUGUGUUUUUGACUGAGAAUGUGUGUUUUUGUUUGGGCUGUCAGGCUUGAGAUAACUUUGUGUAAUGUUAGUGCACUAUUUUUUAAUUGCGAUUAAUCCAUUGUCUGAAAGCGUUGAAAAUACACUGAAAGCAUCCAAAAUACAUACUAUAUACCGCUAAAAUCUACAAUGCCAUUUUGACACGUCCACUGUUGGGUGCUGUUGAGUCAUAAUAUCCAUAACAACUAGAGGUCAAACAGGGAAAUGGCUCCAAUCGUUUUUCCACCAUUCAUUUUUCCCAUAGUACUGUGUUUUGUUUAGGCUCACCCUGGUGUGACGUUUUGACAACCAUGUAAAUAUCUCUAGGACAAGGUGACUGAUGCCACACCGUGUGUUGUGAAUGUAUUGUAAUGUUUUUAAUAUUGUAUAACUGCCUUUAUUUUGCUGGACCCCAGGAAGAGUAGCUGCUGCCUUGGCAGGAACUAAUGGAGAUCCUUUAUUCACGGAUUCGAAAAUGCUAAUUAGCAUCAAAGUAGACGACAUGCAAGACUACUAAUAAUAAACUUCUUCCAUUAAGUAUGAUGGAGGCCACUAUGACUACAAAUCCCUGCAGUUCCACGGAUUCAGACUACAAAUAAUAAUAACAAACUUCUUCCAUUAAGUAUGAUGGAGGCCACUAUGACUACAAAUCCCUGCAGUUCCACGGAUUCAGACUACAAAUAAUAAUUAUAACAAACUUCUUCCAUUAAGUAUGACGGAGGUCACUGUGUUCCUGGGGACCUUCAAUGCUGCAGAAAUGUUUUUGUACCCUUCCCCAGAUCUGUGCCUCGACACAAUCCUGUCUUGGAGCUCU